This 257-nucleotide ribosomal RNA is filed under the name uncultured bacterium. RNAcentral describes it as "partial 16S ribosomal RNA". It matches the Rfam family "Bacterial small subunit ribosomal RNA", at positions 524 to 776 of the family's 1533-position model. The record is from RNAcentral.
UACGGGGGGAGCAAGCGUUGUUCGGGAUUUACGUGGGCGUGAAAGGCGCGGUAGGCGGCGUGACAAGUCACUUGUGAAAUCUCCGGGCUUAACUCGGAACGGUCAAGUGAUACUGUCGUGCUAGAGUACAGAAGGGGCAACUGGGAAUUCUCGGUGUAGCGGUGAAAUGCGUAGAUAUCGAGAGGAACACCUGCGGCGAAGGCGGGUUGCUGGGCUGAUACUGACGCUGAGGCGCGAAAGCUAGGGGAGCGAACGGG